RNAcentral lists this ribosomal RNA (229 nucleotides) under uncultured bacterium. RNAcentral's name for it is "partial 16S ribosomal RNA". It matches the Rfam family "Bacterial small subunit ribosomal RNA", at positions 28 to 237 of the family's 1533-position model. The record is from RNAcentral.
GAUGAACGCUGGCGGCGUGCUUAACACAUGCAAGUCGAGCGAAGCGCUUUGGUUAGAUUCUUCGGAUGAAGACCUUUGUGACUGAGCGGCGGACGGGUGAGUAACGCGUGGGUAACCUGCCUCAUACAGGGGGAUAACAGUUAGAAAUGACUGCUAAUAUCGCAUAAGACCACAGUACCGCAUGGUUUUAGUGUGAAAAACUCCGGUAGGUGUGAGAUGGACCCGCGUU